AAUUUUCUAGCUACGCAUUCUUGAACUCUGCCAUGAUCCCGAAUAUAAGCAGCCAGAUCCCCUCCAUCACAAAACUCCAAGACAAGGAAAAUAGAGUUUUCAGCCUGAAAUACAUCGAAAAGGCGAAUGAUAUUUGGGUGUUUAACAGAAGAUAAAAAGCUGAGUUCACAGUCCAAACAACUCUUGAGUUGGCGAGUGAGCUUGAGGAGGUCGAUUUGCUUCAACGCCACCACUUUUCCGGUGGUCCGGUGCUCGGCUUUCCAUACCGUCGACGAUGAGCCACCGCCGAGCUUACACGUCAGCGUGUACUCUCCGAUCGUUGGACGAUCAGCUUCCAUUUGUAUAUAUUCUCACUGCGCUUUUCCGUUGGGAAAUUAUAUUAGGAAGCUCCUCG
RNAcentral lists this unclassified non-coding RNA (394 nucleotides) under Hevea brasiliensis (rubber tree). Lineage: Eukaryota; Viridiplantae; Streptophyta; Magnoliopsida; Malpighiales; Euphorbiaceae. The record is from RNAcentral.